Molecule: transfer-messenger RNA, 349 nt
Filed under: Treponema phagedenis
Lineage: Bacteria; Pseudomonadati; Spirochaetota; Spirochaetia; Treponematales; Treponemataceae
Rfam family: transfer-messenger RNA
About the family: Bacterial tmRNA, also known as 10Sa RNA or SsrA, is named for its dual tRNA and mRNA-like properties.
Source: RNAcentral
GGGGUGUUCCGGUUUCGACUGGGAAGAUGAAACUUGAGUUGCAGGUGGAGUACCGACCUCCUGAUUCGGUAAAACUUAUAACUGCCGAAAAUAACGACAGUUUCGAUUACGCCUUAGCUGCAUAAUCGCGGAACCCGCAUUGCGUUGCUCCGAGCGGUGCGGUGNUUCCGACGCGAUAGGAGCUCAGCCUUUUGUCGGGCACGAACGAUAAAAGGGACUUUAGCCGUGAUACGGNAAUCGACGCUUGCGGUGCUGACACCGGUUCCCGACAAUUACUCGCACCGAUNAAACCUGUAGACGCUCCUGAUUCCCUUUUCAGGACGGGGGUUCAAUUCCCCCAUCUCCAAAA